AACGAACGCUGGCGGCAUGCCUAACACAUGCAAGUCGAACGAGACCUUCGGGUCUAGUGGCGCACGGGUGCGUAACGCGUGGGAACCUGCCUUUAGGUUCGGAAUAACUCAGAGAAAUUUGAGCUAAUACCGGAUGAUGUCUUCGGACCAAAGAUUUAUCGCCUUUAGAUGGGCCCGCGUUGGAUUAGCUAGUUGGUGGGGUAAAGGCCUACCAAGGCGACGAUCCAUAGCUGGUCUGAGAGGAUGAUCAGCCACACUGGGACUGAGACACGGCCCAGACUCCUACGGGAGGCAGCAGUGGGGUAUAUUGGACAAUGGGCGAAAGCCUGAUCCAGCAAUGCCGCGUGAGUGAUGAAGGCCUUAGGGUUGUAAAGCUCUUUUACCCGAGAUGAUAAUGACAGUAUCGGGAGAAUAAGCUCCGGCUAACUCCGUG
Molecule: ribosomal RNA, 433 nt
Filed under: uncultured bacterium
Lineage: Bacteria
Description: partial 16S ribosomal RNA
Rfam family: Bacterial small subunit ribosomal RNA
Source: RNAcentral